AUCAGAGGAGACUUCUUCACUAAAAAGAAGAGUUUAAUAUCAGACUUUUUAUUCUUUCAAUCAGAUUUUGUAUUUCACAGUCUCCACCCUCCUGUUUAAGAAUCUGAAAAAAGGCAUUUUCUGGUUUACAUUGAAACACAGGAGUUUUAAAUAUCUCUUCAGCUGCUUCCUAAUGUUUGUUCCACAGGAAGGGAGUUAGUUCAUAGCAUAGUGUGCUUUGUUGUGUCUGCAUCAGCAAAGCAGAUAAACUCAGCCUCUCUUCAUCAGGGAAAGGGGCAGAGUGGCACCAGGAGACAGGGCAAUACUGACGGAUUAUUGUGAAUGUUUCAGGGAACAAAAUGACUUUCAGAUAUUUCCCAGCAUCUCAGGGAUCUGAGACCUGAAGGCUGGUCUUACCAGUAGAGACCAAUGAGAAAAGAACAGGCAACUGCUCCUGCUCACCAUCCUGACCUGUUCUUCCAGAAAGCCUGUAUACAACCAUUGCAGUACUCCAGAAAUUUCAAAAAUCAGGCUCCAUCUACUGAAGAAUUCAAAGUAUCUUGCAGAUGUGCAGCUGCAGCUCUCUGAUACUGAGGAAAAUAUGAGCUAUCCACAGACACCAGCAAAAAGCCAGGCACAUGCAGGCCACCCAAGGCAAAUGAGGUGAUCCAAGAGUCACCAGCAGCAACAAGGGAGGGGUUUUUUACAUUCACUGUGAAACACUCUGGGAAAAUGGAUGUUCAGAUGUGCACAGGGUGCAAGUUGUUUGGCCCGACUUGGAUUUGUGCAUCACAGCGGUGCUGGUGAAGAUUGUGUUCAGGCAAUGCCACUUGUGGCUGCAGAGAAUUCCUUCUCAGAGUAUGGACUGCCUUGCUACUGUGUAAGCAGCUUCUGUUCCUGCUCAACUCUCAGUUCAGGAUUAAGGGGCGACUCAGGGCUCCACUUCAGUGGCUUAAGUUAAAGUAGGGCAAGAACGGUCAAAGUUGUUUGCAAUAAUCAAAAGUGUAAUGAGGGAAAAUAAAGAGGUCUUUCCACCACCUGCUGACGAGAACAGAAGUGCAAGAGAAAACAGACUCAAGUACAAGGUCCUGACUAUUCUUGGCACCAUGUGUUAGAGUCUUUGGGGAUUCUUCAGGGACAUGAACUUCACUUGCACCAAGAUCAAUGAAAACCUGCACAUUCAAUCUGUUUCUCAUAAAAAAAUAACUCUGAGUUUCUCCAGUGUGCAAGUCAGAACUGUCUGAAAGUCACAGGGAAAUAAGGGGCUGAAGGGCUAAGAAUUUUGUGCUUCUUUUUCUUUUUAUACACUUCUUAUUCCCACAGAUCCUAUGGGAAGCAUAGGACUUCAGCACAGGGACAGCCAGAAAGAUUCAGGGCUGUUAAAUUAGCAGCUUGUUUAAAUCCCAAGGUAAACUGGUUGUGCUAAAUUAAUCUAUGAACCUUCACAUCAAAUCUAGAGCCUCUGAGCAGUACAGAUAUUUUGAGAUGAUCUAAUUGUGGUUGGAGAGAAGGGAAAGUAUGGGCGCGAGUAACACUGUACUGAGUGCCACAGUGGGGUUAGCACACAGCACAGUGUAAAAAGCUGACACAGGCAACACAGCCAGAACACCAGGGAGAAAAGAUAUCUAG
Molecule: long non-coding RNA, 1608 nt
Organism: Empidonax traillii (willow flycatcher)
Lineage: Eukaryota; Metazoa; Chordata; Aves; Passeriformes; Tyrannidae
Exons: 4
Source: RefSeq, a predicted model, not a curated record